CCUACGGGGGGCUGCAGUGGGGAAUAUUGCACAAUGGGGGAAACCCUGAUGCAGCAACGCCGCGUGAGCGAUGAAGGCCUUCGGGUCGUAAAGCUCUGUCCUAAGGGAAGAAUACUGACGGUACCUUAGGAGGAAGCCCCGGCUAACUACGUGCCAGCAGCCGCGGUAAUACGUAGGGGGCUAGCGUUAUCCGGAAUUACUGGGCGUAAAGGGUGCGUAGGCGGCCCUUCAAGUCAGAGGUGAAAGGGUACGGCUCAACCGUAGUAAGCCUUUGAGACUGUAGGGCUUGAGUGCAGGAGUGAAGGGUGGGAUUCCCAGUGUAGCGGUGUAAUGCGUGGUUAUUGGGAGGAACACCAGUUGCGAAGGCGGCUCUCUGGGCUGUAACUGACGCUGAGGCACGAAGGCGUGGGGCGCGAACUGGAUUAGAUACCCUGGUAGUC
RNAcentral lists this ribosomal RNA (440 nucleotides) under uncultured bacterium. Its description in RNAcentral is "bacterial SSU rRNA". It matches the Rfam family "Bacterial small subunit ribosomal RNA", at positions 338 to 795 of the family's 1533-position model. The record is from RNAcentral.